AUACUUACCUGGCAAGGGAGAUACCGUGAUCAAGAAGGCGGUUCACCCAGGGCGAGGCUCAGCCAUUGCACUCCGGCUGUGCUGACCCCUGCGAAUUUCCCAAAUGUGGAAAUCUCNAUGAUGUCUACAUGUUGGAGUAUGCCCCUG
This 147-nucleotide small nuclear RNA is filed under the name Hucho hucho (huchen). RNAcentral's name for it is "U1 spliceosomal RNA (ENSHHUG00000036042.1)". It matches the Rfam family "U1 spliceosomal RNA". From Rfam's summary of the family: U1 is a small nuclear RNA (snRNA) component of the spliceosome (involved in pre-mRNA splicing). Its 5' end forms complementary base pairs with the 5' splice junction, thus defining the 5' donor site of an intron. The record is from RNAcentral. Lineage: Eukaryota; Metazoa; Chordata; Actinopteri; Salmoniformes; Salmonidae.